Molecule: long non-coding RNA, 148 nt
Organism: Maniola jurtina (meadow brown)
Lineage: Eukaryota; Metazoa; Arthropoda; Insecta; Lepidoptera; Nymphalidae
Exons: 3
Source: RefSeq, a predicted model, not a curated record
AUUUUAACUUUGCUCAGAUUUAAGACACUGUUAAAACAAGACAGCGUCAUAUCGUUGACAUAAAUCGGUCUCGCUUUAACUGAAAAUUAAGCCUGAACAAAGUCAAAUUACCUACGCUCUAUAGAUCUCAGCCUAAGUAGGUAGAUAU